UACGUAGGGUGCGAGCGUUGUCCGGAAUUAUUGGGCGUAAAGAGCUCGUAGGCGGUCUGUCGCGUCGGUCGUGAAAACUUGCAGCUUAACUGUGGGCGUGCGGUCGAUACGGGCAUGACUGGAGUUCGGCAGGGGAGACUGGAAUUCCUGGUGUAGCGGUGAAAUGCGCAGAUAUCAGGAGGAACACCGGUGGCGAAGGCGGGUCUCUGGGCCGAUACUGACGCUGAGGAGCGAAAGCGUGGGGAGCGAACAGG
This 254-nucleotide ribosomal RNA is filed under the name uncultured bacterium. RNAcentral's name for it is "partial 16S ribosomal RNA". It matches the Rfam family "Bacterial small subunit ribosomal RNA", at positions 524 to 776 of the family's 1533-position model. The record is from RNAcentral.